This 162-nucleotide ribosomal RNA is filed under the name uncultured eukaryote. RNAcentral's name for it is "partial small subunit ribosomal RNA". The record is from RNAcentral.
UGUCUUCCAGCCUCGGGCAAACCAGUCGUCGAUCCACUGCGUGAUCCCCUGACGGAGGUACCGCGAGUCGGUGUGCAGGUCGACCUGGCAGCGCCCGUACCGGCCAUCCAGGUAGGCCAGCGCCGCGACGGCAGCCUCGAGUUCCAUCUGGUUGUUUGUGGU